UGACGACGCUAGUGAACGUUUUCGUGGUAGAUUCCUAGUCUUACAGUUUAUUUACGGUUUACGGUUUUUGCGGUCUUAUGGUCACUGCUAAAAGGACGGAUAAAAGGAAUAUAAGGGCUAUAAGUUGUUUCCCAAGGUUGAAAGGACACAGAUAAAGCUUUUAAAACAUCUCUCGGCGGCUUUGUUGCCUGAUAUGAAAUGUUCACCACAACAUGACGGCAACUUUCACUUCAGUUGGACGAUCACCAAGCAUAAUAUUUUCUAUAAGAUUCCAGUUAUUCGGUGAAAAAUCGCUGAGGUGCUGUUAUUUCUUCCAUGAAUGUAGAGAAUUACAUCAACGCUUGCAAUCGAACAUCAAAAGCUGGAUUACGGCAAUUGCUUGAAUCAGAUAAGUACAUUCCUACUUUUUAUUUUGAUUUUUUGAUCUGUUCACCUCAUUGCUAAACUUUGAUUGCGUAGAAGCAACAAUAAAGUUUCCGCUGACAAGCCAGGUAAGUGAUAGUAUUAAGUGAGCCAACGCACGUCAUCAGAGAUUGGAUUAUUGACUAGUUGAAUACGCAUUGUAUCUGAUCGCUUUGGAUAGACUUGAGAAAACACCCAUUGAAGCUUUUGUGUUUCAAUUCGCUGUUAAAGGAACAACUUUCAGACUAUGAAUUAUGUCAGGCCCCACCUGACAAACUUGAAAGACUCACUUUCAAGUGAAACAUAUUCUGCAAUACAAGAAAAGCAGGACAAAGACCUUUGGAAGAUGAAACGCUUUCAAGCUACGUGUUAUCUGUUUUCCUUGUCACCAUCGAGAUGCUCUGCCACAAAUGUUAUGCCACAAAUCUUGAAAGAACAAGCGCUUUCAAGAUAUUUCCAAAUUGCUCGAUGGCAACCAAACCAAGACAAAAAUUGCGUUCAAUCUUACAAUUUUAAGAC
Pocillopora verrucosa is the source of this 921-nucleotide non-coding RNA. The record is from RefSeq and is a predicted model, not a curated record. NCBI's taxonomy places the organism in Eukaryota, Metazoa, Cnidaria, Anthozoa, Scleractinia, Pocilloporidae.